This 274-nucleotide ribosomal RNA is filed under the name uncultured bacterium. RNAcentral describes it as "partial 16S ribosomal RNA". It matches the Rfam family "Bacterial small subunit ribosomal RNA", at positions 523 to 796 of the family's 1533-position model. The record is from RNAcentral.
CUACGGAGGCUGCAAGCGUUGUCCGGAUUUAUUGGGUUUAAAGGGUGCGUAGGCGGUACGUUAAGUCAGUGGUGAGAUCCCUCAGCUCAACUGAGGAACUGCCAUUGAUACUGGCGUACUUGAGUACAGACGAGGUAGGCGGAAUUUAUGGUGUAGCGGUGAAAUGCAUAGAUACCAUAAAGAACACCGAUAGCGAAGGCAGCUUACUAGACUGUAACUGACGCUCAGGCACGAAAGCGUGGGGAGCGAACAGGAUUAGAUACCCCAGUAGUCC